This 254-nucleotide ribosomal RNA is filed under the name uncultured bacterium. RNAcentral's name for it is "partial 16S ribosomal RNA". It matches the Rfam family "Bacterial small subunit ribosomal RNA", at positions 524 to 776 of the family's 1533-position model. The record is from RNAcentral.
CACGUAGGGGGCAAGCGUUGUCCGGAUUUAUUGGGCGUAAAGAGCUCGUAGGUGGUUCGGUAAGUCGGGUGUUAAACCCCCAGGCUCAACCUGGGGACGCCACUCGAUACUGCUGUGACUUGAGUCCGGUAGGGGAGCGUGGAAUUCCUGGUGUAGCGGUGAAAUGCGCAGAUAUCAGGAGGAACACCGGUGGCGAAGGCGGGUCUCUGGGCCGAUACUGACGCUGAGGAGCGAAAGCGUGGGGAGCGAACAGG